GUGGAUUAGAUACCCCGGUAGUCCACACCCUAAACGAUGAUAACUCGAUGUUGGCGAUACACAGUCAGCGUCUAAGCGAAAGCAUUAAGUUAUCCACCUGGGAAGUACGACCGCAAGGUUGAAACUCAAAGGAAUUGACGGGGGCCCGCACAAGCGGAGGAGCAUGUGGUUUAAUUCGAUGAUACGCGAGGAACCUUACCUGGGCUUGAAAGUUAGUGACCGUCCCUGAAAGGGGACCUUCAGCAAUGACACGAAACUAGGUGCUGCACGGCCGUCGUCAGCU
This 283-nucleotide ribosomal RNA is filed under the name uncultured bacterium. RNAcentral describes it as "partial 16S ribosomal RNA". It matches the Rfam family "Bacterial small subunit ribosomal RNA", at positions 773 to 1060 of the family's 1533-position model. The record is from RNAcentral.